CCAGACUCCUACGGGAGGCAGCAGUGGGGAAUAUUGCACAAUGGGGGAAACCCUGAUGCAGCGACGCCGCGUGAGUGAGGAAGUAUCUCGGUACGUAAAGCUCUAUCAGCAGGGAAGAAAAUGACGGUACCUGAUUAAGAAGCCCCGGCUGACUACGUGCCAGCAGCCGCGGUAAUACGUAGGGGGCAAGCGUUAUCCGGAUUUACUGGGUGUAAAGGGAGCGUAGACGGCGAUGCAAGUCUGAAGUGAAAGGCGGGGGCCCAACCCCCGGACUGCUUUGGAAACUUUUUUGCUGGAGUACCGGAGAGGUAAGCGGAAUUCCUAGUGUAGCGGUGAAAUGCGUAGAUAUUAGGAGGAACACCAGUGGCGAAGGCGGCUUACUGGACGGUAACUGACGUCGAGGCUCGAAAGCGUGGGGAGCAAACAGGAUUAGAUACCCCUGUAC
Molecule: ribosomal RNA, 445 nt
Filed under: uncultured bacterium
Lineage: Bacteria
Description: bacterial SSU rRNA
Rfam family: Bacterial small subunit ribosomal RNA
Source: RNAcentral